AUCCAUCUGACGAGUCUCAAAUAGGACGAAACGGGCGUCCAU
RNAcentral lists this non-coding RNA (42 nucleotides) under Schistosoma mansoni. Lineage: Eukaryota; Metazoa; Platyhelminthes; Trematoda; Strigeidida; Schistosomatidae. The record is from RNAcentral.